This 450-nucleotide ribosomal RNA is filed under the name uncultured bacterium. Its description in RNAcentral is "partial 16S ribosomal RNA". It matches the Rfam family "Bacterial small subunit ribosomal RNA", at positions 338 to 795 of the family's 1533-position model. The record is from RNAcentral.
CCUACGGUGGGCUGCAGUGGGGAAUUUUGGACAAUGGGCGCAAGCCUGAUCCAGCCAUUCCGCGUGAGUGAAGAAGGCCUUCGGGUUGUAAAGCUCUUUCGCAAGGGAAGAAAACUUAUCCUCUAACAUAGGAUGAGGUUGACGGUACCUUGAUAAGAAGCACCGGCUAACUACGUGCCAGCAGCCGCGGUAAUACGUAGGGUGCGAGCGUUAAGCGGAGUUACUGGAGGUUGUUUUGUAGGUCAGAGGUGAAAUCCCCGAGCUCAACUUGGGAACUGCGUUUGAAACUACAAGACUAGAAUAGGUCAGAGGGGGGUAGAAUUCCACGUGUAGCAGUGAAAUGCGUAGAGAUGUGGAGGAAUAUCAAUGGCGAAGGCAGCCCCCUGGGAUCAUAUUGACGCUCAUGCACGAAAGCGUGGGGAGCAAACAGGAUUAGAUACCCCAGUAGUC